AUUGAACGCUGGCGGCAUGCCUUACACAUGCAAGUCGAACGGCAGCACGGGUGCUUGCACCUGGUGGCGAGUGGCGAACGGGUGAGUAAUACAUCGGAACGUACCUUAUCGUGGGGGAUAACGCAGCGAAAGCUGUGCUAAUACCGCAUACGCCCUGCGGGGGAAAGCGGGGGAUCGCAAGACCUCGCGCGAUUAGAGCGGCCGAUGCCUGAUUAGCUUGGUGGUGGGGUAAAAGCCCACCAAGGCGACGAUGAGUAGCUGGUCUGAGAGGAAGAGCAGCCAGACUGGGACUGAGACACAGCCCAGAAUCCUACGGGAGGCAGCAGUGGGGAGUUUUGGACAAGGGGGGCAACCCUGAUCCAGCAAUGCCGCGUGAGUGAAGAGGGCCUUCGGGUUGUAAAGCUCUUUUGUCAGGGAAGAAACACCGGCUCUAACACAGUCCGGGAAUGACGGUACCUGAAGAAUAAGCACCGGCUAACUACGUGCCAGCAGCCGCCGUAA
Molecule: ribosomal RNA, 501 nt
Filed under: uncultured bacterium
Lineage: Bacteria
Description: partial 16S ribosomal RNA
Rfam family: Bacterial small subunit ribosomal RNA
Source: RNAcentral